UCAGACAUGGUGUAGCGGUAACAUCGCCUCUUUGAUUAGUAGAGCAAGUAUUUCAGUCUUAUGAGGCCGUCCCGGGUUCGAAUCCCAGUGUCUGAA
This is a non-coding RNA of Mycena epipterygia, 96 nucleotides long. Lineage: Eukaryota; Fungi; Basidiomycota; Agaricomycetes; Agaricales; Mycenaceae. The record is from the annotation of a GenBank genome assembly.